Molecule: ribosomal RNA, 253 nt
Filed under: uncultured bacterium
Lineage: Bacteria
Description: partial 16S ribosomal RNA
Rfam family: Bacterial small subunit ribosomal RNA
Source: RNAcentral
UACGGGGGGAGCAAGCGUUGUUCGGAUUUACUGGGCGUAAAGGGCGCGCAGGCGGCGCAACAAGUCACUUGUGAAAUCUCCGGGCUUAACUCGGAACGGUCAAGUGAUACUGUUGUGCUAGAGUGCGGAAGGGGCAACUGGAAUUCUCGGUGUAGCGGUGAAAUGCGUAGAUAUCGAGAGGAACACCUGCGGCGAAGGCGGGUUGCUGGGCCGACACUGACGCUGAUGCGCGAAAGCCAGGGGAGCGAACGGG